This 2874-nucleotide long non-coding RNA is filed under the name Equus caballus (horse). RNAcentral's name for it is "lncRNA (ENSECAG00000034932.3)". Lineage: Eukaryota; Metazoa; Chordata; Mammalia; Perissodactyla; Equidae. The record is from RNAcentral.
UUGUACUUAACCCUCUCUCCCCACAAGCCCUCCUGUCCUUCACCUAUAGCCAAGGCCAACCUCAGCUCAACCGUCUCAGCUGAAGCAACGUGGCUUUGACCUUCUACUCUUUCCCAGAAGUGAGGGACAUCCUGCUACCCCUAGCAAGCCUCCAGGCUGUGGGAACAGAGAAGAGGAGGGGUCAUUCCUGCCAUCCUCCAUCUGCACCCUCCGCCAUUACUCAUUCGGCAUUCUGCCCCCUCCUUCCGCUCGUUAAGCCUGAUUUGCAUACAUUUGCAUAAUACAACUUAUUUGCAUUCCAGGAGGCUCAUGUGCCAAAGAGAGAUGCCAAGGGGCCGGCUUUUCUGUCCUUUUUUGUUUUGCUUCCUCUGGCCUUGGCUCCCCAGCCCGGCCCCCCACCUUGCUGGGCUCAGGCUUCAGAAAGAAAGAGGCAAGGGUAAGAGGCAAGGCUGUGGGAACGAAAGCAGAGGGAGACAGGGAGGCCGCCAUCUUAGGUAGCUGGCGCCUAUAAAAUGGCCGCCUCUCCAGAGCUGAGAGCUGGCCUGGUUGGUGGACGUGGAGGGAGGUGAGAUGUCAGGGCUUUAUGGCUGACCAGGAACAUUGUUGAGUCUUCCUACUAGUGAAACUGGGAAGAGAGGAUGGAGAGAGAAGGAAGGAGGGAGAGAUGAGGAAGGGGCAGCCCCCGAAGAGAUGUGAGCCUCACACAGGAGCAGCCGCGGUAGAGAGGCCUCCACGCUGGCCUUGGUUCCAGACCCCUCCAUGGAGAGAGAAGGAAGGAGGGAGAGAUGAGGAAGGGGCAGCCCCCGAAGAGAUGUGAGCCUCACACAGGAGCAGCCGCGGUAGAGAGGCCUCCACGCUGGCCUUGGUUCCAGACCCCUCCUGAGCGCCAAUGGUCAGAGGACUUGAAGGACUGGGGGUGACGCAAAAAAUACCGGAGGAAUCAGAACUGGGGGUGUCAGCAGGAGGAGGGAGAGGGUAAGGUGUGGGCAGGCAGGAUCAUCUGCCAGUUUAGGGUGGGGGUCUCUCUGGGGCCUGUGAAGGGCCACCAUGUACUUGAGGCGAAGCUCCAAGUCAUCUCUCCUCAGCCCUGCAGUCCGGCUUCCAUCUUCGUAACUCUGGUGACACUGUGCCCUCUCAGGCCGCUCAACCUCCUCGCUCGGACCCAACGGCCCUUGCUCAGGUCUGGUGACUUUUGUGGAACAUUUCAUGCUGAUGUCCAUCGUGUCUUCACCUUUGGCCUUUGGUUCUUCUGUGAUAUCCCUGAUUAUUCAUUCUGGGUUCUCUUCUCUCAGUCCGCUGGGUUGACCAGUCCUCCAGCCAAAAGUAUGUUCCCCAAGGUUCUACUGUCACCUUUGUUUUUUUCCUUCCUACUCACUUUCAUUCACUUUUAUCACCUCAGCCAUCAGCCAAAGUUAUAAACGCUCGUUCAUUUCUCUAGUCUUGGCUUCUUAUAAACUCCAGAUUGUACCCUAACUGCUACCUGUGGUCCUGCCAUUAGCUCCCAGGUCAGAGACUGGACUGGUGCAUCUGAUUGGCUAAGCCUAGACCCAACGCCCAGGCCCCAGCUGCAAGGAGGGCCAGGAAGGUGCUAUGCUGAAGAGGAAGGUGGAAUACAAAGCUUCUUUGAGGAGCUAACCGUCCAGCAGGGGAGGCAGACACACAAUUACAUGGCAUGUGGAGACUGCUGUCCUGAAGACGUGUGCAAAGUGCUGUGGGAGCAGGUGGGGAGGGAACUGUGGGCCACCUUGGGGGAGUUAAGGAAGGGUUCCUGGAGGGGGCCAAAAUGUUGGUGAUGAAAGAUAAAGGGAAUAAAAGUGAUAAAAGGUAAGCAAGGAGUUGUCAGUCUAAGGAGUUUGAGGAAGUGGGUGGUGGAGAGUGGACAGUGUACGUGAAAGCAAGGACGUAGGGAAGAGCAUGGUGCCUUAGGGGACUGGAACAUCCAUCAGAGGGAGUCUGGGCUGGGGGAGAUGGGAAGUGGAAGCAGAAAUUCCAUUAUUAAGAGCUUUAUCUGCUCCAUGAGGGAGGCUGCAUUUGAUGGGGAUUCUGAGAAGUUAGCUGACAGCCUCAGGGAUGCUGGGUGCAGGGUAUGGCUGCGACAAGGACACCCGCAUCUAGCUGCCCACUGAGCCCAGCACCCAACCAGACACUUAACUGGCUCUUGGCUAGUUCUGAAGAAAGGAAGGAACGUAUGAAAGGCCUGGAAGCCACCUGAGGAAGAGUCUCUGCCUCUCCCCCUCCAGAACCGCCCACGCCCCACAGGAAAUUCCAUGAUCUUUCUUAUUCCUGUCUUGGGAAGUCCUUCCCAAUGUCUAACCAAGAUCUGUACUGCUGAAGCACCAGUUCUUUGACCCUUGGCUUGACAUGGUUAAUUUGAGAGGCACAGCUUCCCUCUACCCCAGGAAGGAAGAAACUGACUUUGAUUUGGCACCCACUUGCUUGUGUAAGCCCUUUCUUAGCCAUUAUCUCAGUUAAUCUUCCAACAGUCCUGAAAACUGGUGAUGCUGUCCCCACUUUACAAAGGCAGAAUCAGCCCCAAGAAGGACAUACCAAAAAGAAGAACCUACUUCACCCUUUGGCCUAGGUUCCCUCUGAGAAGCCUUCCUGGAUUGACUGAAAGAUGUGGCUAAACUCUAGCAAGUUGACCAGCUCCUCCAAGAAGCCUCUGAGCAGGCCAGAAGUAGGCACGCCCUAGCAACCAGCCUGGCAGCCCACUACACCCGGAGCCGCCUGGGAUAAGACUUUGCUUCACUGUUGCUCCCGUGUCCACAGGCUGUCCAUCCCGGCCCAUCUUGGUUUCUCCUUUGUCAUCUGAGCUGAGAUUCUCUGAGAUGGAAGACCCAUCUCGUGUCUAAUAAAGACUCUUGAAUGUUGAAC